Molecule: transfer RNA, 76 nt
Filed under: Rhodospirillaceae bacterium
Lineage: Bacteria; Pseudomonadati; Pseudomonadota; Alphaproteobacteria; Rhodospirillales; Rhodospirillaceae
Also listed under: 5 other names
Description: tRNA-Asn
Rfam family: tRNA
About the family: Transfer RNA (tRNA) molecules are approximately 80 nucleotides in length. Their secondary structure includes four short double-helical elements and three loops (D, anti-codon, and T loops).
Source: RNAcentral
UCCCCGGUAGCUCAGUUGGUAGAGCGGUCGGCUGUUAACCGAUUGGUCGCUGGUUCGAGUCCGGCCCGGGGAGCCA